This 216-nucleotide ribosomal RNA is filed under the name Glomeromycotina sp. Its description in RNAcentral is "partial small subunit ribosomal RNA". The stretch from base 87 to 216 matches the Rfam family "Eukaryotic small subunit ribosomal RNA", at positions 733 to 864 of the family's 1831-position model. Lineage: Eukaryota; Fungi; Glomeromycota. The record is from RNAcentral.
GGGUCAGUAGGUUGGUCGUGCCACCGGUACGUACUGGUCUCACUGAUUCCUCCUUCCUGAAGAACCGUAAUGCCAUUAACUUGGUGUUGUGGGGAAACAGGACUGUUACUUUGAAAAAAUUAGAGUGUUUAAAGCAAGCUAACGCUUGAAUACAUUAGCAUGGAAUAAUGAAAUAGGACGAUCGAUCCUAUUUUGUUGGUUUCUAGGAUUGACGUA